Molecule: long non-coding RNA, 581 nt
Organism: Drosophila erecta
Lineage: Eukaryota; Metazoa; Arthropoda; Insecta; Diptera; Drosophilidae
Exons: 2
Source: RefSeq, a predicted model, not a curated record
CUCUAACGCGCCCGCCAGUAACUUUUCACAUUCCGGCUGCGGUCACACUGCAGAACCCCUUUAAACCGCAGAAAUCGCUCGCGUUUUUUGUCGCGGCGUUUAAUUUUUGAAAAGAAACCGAAGGAAUAUUAAACUGUUUGCCUGAUAAAAGGAUCGGUUCGGCCGCGUUGCAAACAUAAAGGCAAUUGGCGCGAGUAACGGCGGAUAAUUCAGAAAACACGCAAGCGAAAAAACGAAGUUGUGCGGAAAAACCAGUUUUCUUUUUGCCCAACGAGCAGCACCAACAACAACAACCACCACAACCACAACGCGUAGUUAAAAAAAGCAAGCAGAAAUCCUGUUUAGUCCUGAAUUAAAUAGCCCCCACAAGAAAUCAAAAGAAAAAUGCCAAUGAAAGUGUCGUGCAAUAAGGCCAAUUAAUCAAAAAAGAAGUACACAUGAAAACGAGGUUUUUGCCUGCGAUUUCCUGCGAACUAAGCUUGUUUUAACCAGACUAACUAAAAACUUUAAUUGUGCAACUACAGCAACAGUAACAACAAAAGCAGUAGCAGCGGAGUCUCAGCAAUUGGCACAAUUGGCGA